RNAcentral lists this ribosomal RNA (252 nucleotides) under uncultured Bacteroidales bacterium. RNAcentral describes it as "partial 16S ribosomal RNA". It matches the Rfam family "Bacterial small subunit ribosomal RNA", at positions 524 to 776 of the family's 1533-position model. Lineage: Bacteria; Pseudomonadati; Bacteroidota; Bacteroidia; Bacteroidales. The record is from RNAcentral.
UACGUAGGUGGCAAGCGUUAUCCGGAUUUAUUGGGUUUAAAGGGUGCGCAGGCGGUCUGUUAAGUCAGCGGUCAAAUCGUGGGGCUCAACCCCAUCCAGCCGUUGAAACUGGGGAUCUAGAGUGUGCGAGAGGUAUGCGGAAUGCGUGGUGUAGCGGUGAAACGCAUAGAUAUCACGCAGAACCCCGAUUGCGAAGGCAGCAUACCGGUGCACAACUGACGCUCAGGCACGAAAGCGUGGUUAUCGAACAGG